Molecule: ribosomal RNA, 891 nt
Filed under: uncultured bacterium
Lineage: Bacteria
Description: bacterial SSU rRNA
Rfam family: Bacterial small subunit ribosomal RNA
Source: RNAcentral
AGAGUUUGAUCAUGGCUCAGGAUGAACGCUGGCGGCGUGCCUAACACAUGCAAGUCGAACGGAAAACACUUUCGGGUGUUUUGAGUGGCGCACGGGUGCGUAACACGUAGCUGAUCUGCCCCGGAAACUGGAAUAACGUACCGAAAGGUAUGCUAAUACCGGAUACGCUCAUGAGAACUAGAGGCUCAUGAGGAAAGGGGAAACCCGUUCUGGGAGGAGGCUGCGGCCCAUCAGGUAGUUGGUGCGGUAAAAGCGCACCAAGCCGACGACGGGUCGGGGGUCUGAGAGGAUGACCCCCCACACUGGGACUGAGACACGGCCCAGACUCCUACGGGAGGCAGCAGUGAGGGAUCUUGCGCAAUGGGGGAAACCCUGACGCAGCGACGCCGCGUGGGCGAUGAAGGCUUUCGGGUCGUAAAGCCCUUUUCCCACUGACGAGACAAGGACGGUAGGUGGGGAAUAAGUCUCGGCUAACUACGUGCCAGCAGCCGCGGUAAAACGUAGGAGGCGAGCGUUAUCCGGAGUUACUGGGCGUAAAGCGCGUGCAGGCGGCAGGACAAGUGGCGGGUGAAAGCGUUCGGCUCAACCGAGCGAGUGCCGGUCAGACUGUCGUGCUGGAGUACCGGCGAGGGACGUGGAAUUCCGGGUGUAGCGGUGAAAUGUGCAGAGAUCCGGAGGAACACCAGCGGCGCAAGCGGCGUCCUGGACGGAAACUGACGCUGAGACGCGACAGCGUGGGGAGCGAACGGGAUUAGAGACCCCGGUAGUCCACGCCGUAAACGAUGCCAACUCGAUGUCGGGGUGGCGAAAGCCAUUUCGGUGUCAUAGUUCACGCGAUAAGUUGGCCGCCUGGGGAGUACGGUCGCAAGGCUAAACUCAAUGAAUUGACGG